Molecule: ribosomal RNA, 592 nt
Filed under: uncultured bacterium
Lineage: Bacteria
Description: partial 16S ribosomal RNA
Rfam family: Bacterial small subunit ribosomal RNA
Source: RNAcentral
UGGGGAAUUUUGGACAAUGGGCGAAAGCCUGAUCCAGCAAUGCCGCGUGUGUGAAGAAGGCCUUCGGGUUGUAAAGCACUUUUGUCCGGAAAGAAAUCCUUGGCUCUAAUACAGUCGGGGGAUGACGGUACCGGAAGAAUAAGCACCGGCUAACUACGUGCCAGCAGCCGCGGUAAUACGUAGGGUGCAAGCGUUAAUCGGAAUUACUGGGCGUAAAGCGUGCGCAGGCGGUUUGCUAAGACCGAUGUGAAAUCCCCGGGCUCAACCUGGGAACUGCAUUGGUGACUGGCAGGCUAGAGUAUGGCAGAGGGGGGUAGAAUUCCACGUGUAGCAGUGAAAUGCGUAGAGAUGUGGAGGAAUACCGAUGGCGAAGGCAGCCCCCUGGGCCAAAUACUGACGCUCAUGCACGAAAAGCGUGGGGAGCAAAACAGGAUUAGAUACCCUGGUAGUCCACGCCCUAAAACGAUGUCAACUAGUUGUUGGGGAUUCAUUUCCUUAGUAACGUAGCUAAACGCGUGAAGUUGACCGCCUGUGGAGUACGGUCGCAAGAUUAAAAACUUAAAAGGAAUUGACGGGGGUCAUAGCUGUUUCC